CGGACGGGUGAGUAACACGUGGGUACCUACCUUGAGGUGAGGAAUACCGGCGAGAAAUCGCCGACAAGACCGCAUAGCUUUCUUCGCAAGAGAAAGAAAGCCGCUUCGGCGGCGCCCCAAGAUGGGCCUGCGCCCGAUUAGCUAGUUGGUGGGGUAAAAGCCUACCAAGGCGACGAUCGGUAGCUGGUCUGAGAGGAUGAUCAGCCACACUGGGAUUGAGAACGGCCCAG
This 230-nucleotide ribosomal RNA is filed under the name uncultured bacterium. RNAcentral describes it as "partial 16S ribosomal RNA". It matches the Rfam family "Bacterial small subunit ribosomal RNA", at positions 99 to 334 of the family's 1533-position model. The record is from RNAcentral.